RNAcentral lists this ribosomal RNA (2929 nucleotides) under Escherichia coli O157:H43. Its description in RNAcentral is "bacterial LSU rRNA". It matches the Rfam family "Bacterial large subunit ribosomal RNA". The record is from RNAcentral. Lineage: Bacteria; Pseudomonadati; Pseudomonadota; Gammaproteobacteria; Enterobacterales; Enterobacteriaceae.
GGGUUGUGAGGUUAAGCGACUAAGCGUACACGGUGGAUGCCCUGGCAGUCAGAGGCGAUGAAGGACGUGCUAAUCUGCGAUAAGCGUCGGUAAGGUGAUAUGAACCGUUAUAACCGGCGAUUUCCGAAUGGGGAAACCCAGUGUGAUUCGUCACACUAUCAUUAACUGAAUCCAUAGGUUAAUGAGGCGAACCGGGGGAACUGAAACAUCUAAGUACCCCGAGGAAAAGAAAUCAACCGAGAUUCCCCCAGUAGCGGCGAGCGAACGGGGAGCAGCCCAGAGCCUGAAUCAGUGUGUGUGUUAGUGGAAGCGUCUGGAAAGGCGUGCGAUACAGGGUGACAGCCCCGUACACAAAAAUGCACAUGCUGUGAGCUCGAUGAGUAGGGCGGGACACGUGGUAUCCUGUCUGAAUAUGGGGGGACCAUCCUCCAAGGCUAAAUACUCCUGACUGACCGAUAGUGAACCAGUACCGUGAGGGAAAGGCGAAAAGAACCCCGGCGAGGGGAGUGAAAAAGAACCUGAAACCGUGUACGUACAAGCAGUGGGAGCACGCUUAGGCGUGUGACUGCGUACCUUUUGUAUAAUGGGUCAGCGACUUAUAUUCUGUAGCAAGGUUAACCGAAUAGGGGAGCCGAAGGGAAACCGAGUCUUAACUGGGCGUUAAGUUGCAGGGUAUAGACCCGAAACCCGGUGAUCUAGCCAUGGGCAGGUUGAAGGUUGGGUAACACUAACUGGAGGACCGAACCGACUAAUGUUGAAAAAUUAGCGGAUGACUUGUGGCUGGGGGUGAAAGGCCAAUCAAACCGGGAGAUAGCUGGUUCUCCCCGAAAGCUAUUUAGGUAGCGCCUCGUGAAUUCAUCUCCGGGGGUAGAGCACUGUUUCGGCAAGGGGGUCAUCCCGACUUACCAACCCGAUGCAAACUGCGAAUACCGGAGAAUGUUAUCACGGGAGACACACGGCGGGUGCUAACGUCCGUCGUGAAGAGGGAAACAACCCAGACCGCCAGCUAAGGUCCCAAAGUCAUGGUUAAGUGGGAAACGAUGUGGGAAGGCCCAGACAGCCAGGAUGUUGGCUUAGAAGCAGCCAUCAUUUAAAGAAAGCGUAAUAGCUCACUGGUCGAGUCGGCCUGCGCGGAAGAUGUAACGGGGCUAAACCAUGCACCGAAGCUGCGGCAGCGACACUAUGUGUUGUUGGGUAGGGGAGCGUUCUGUAAGCCUGUGAAGGUGUACUGUGAGGUAUGCUGGAGGUAUCAGAAGUGCGAAUGCUGACAUAAGUAACGAUAAAGCGGGUGAAAAGCCCGCUCGCCGGAAGACCAAGGGUUCCUGUCCAACGUUAAUCGGGGCAGGGUGAGUCGACCCCUAAGGCGAGGCCGAAAGGCGUAGUCGAUGGGAAACAGGUUAAUAUUCCUGUACUUGGUGUUACUGCGAAGGGGGGACGGAGAAGGCUAUGUUGGCCGGGCGACGGUUGUCCCGGUUUAAGCGUGUAGGCUGGUUUUCCAGGCAAAUCCGGAAAAUCAAGGCUGAGGCGUGAUGACGAGGCACUACGGUGCUGAAGCAACAAAUGCCCUGCUUCCAGGAAAAGCCUCUAAGCAUCAGGUAACAUCAAAUCGUACCCCAAACCGACACAGGUGGUCAGGUAGAGAAUACCAAGGCGCUUGAGAGAACUCGGGUGAAGGAACUAGGCAAAAUGGUGCCGUAACUUCGGGAGAAGGCACGCUGAUAUGUAGGUGAAGUCCCUCGCGGAUGGAGCUGAAAUCAGUCGAAGAUACCAGCUGGCUGCAACUGUUUAUUAAAAACACAGCACUGUGCAAACACGAAAGUGGACGUAUACGGUGUGACGCCUGCCCGGUGCCGGAAGGUUAAUUGAUGGGGUCAGCGCAAGCGAAGCUCUUGAUCGAAGCCCCGGUAAACGGCGGCCGUAACUAUAACGGUCCUAAGGUAGCGAAAUUCCUUGUCGGGUAAGUUCCGACCUGCACGAAUGGCGUAAUGAUGGCCAGGCUGUCUCCACCCGAGACUCAGUGAAAUUGAACUCGCUGUGAAGAUGCAGUGUACCCGCGGCAAGACGGAAAGACCCCGUGAACCUUUACUAUAGCUUGACACUGAACAUUGAGCCUUGAUGUGUAGGAUAGGUGGGAGGCUUGGAAGUGUGGACGCCAGUCUGCAUGGAGCCGACCUUGAAAUACCACCCUUUAAUGUUUGAUGUUCUAACGUUGACCCGUAAUCCGGGUUGCGGACAGUGUCUGGUGGGUAGUUUGACUGGGGCGGUCUCCUCCUAAAGAGUAACGGAGGAGCACGAAGGUUGGCUAAUCCUGGUCGGACAUCAGGAGGUUAGUGCAAUGGCAUAAGCCAGCUUGACUGCGAGCGUGACGGCGCGAGCAGGUGCGAAAGCAGGUCAUAGUGAUCCGGUGGUUCUGAAUGGAAGGGCCAUCGCUCAACGGAUAAAAGGUACUCCGGGGAUAACAGGCUGAUACCGCCCAAGAGUUCAUAUCGACGGCGGUGUUUGGCACCUCGAUGUCGGCUCAUCACAUCCUGGGGCUGAAGUAGGUCCCAAGGGUAUGGCUGUUCGCCAUUUAAAGUGGUACGCGAGCUGGGUUUAGAACGUCGUGAGACAGUUCGGUCCCUAUCUGCCGUGGGCGCUGGAGAACUGAGGGGGGCUGCUCCUAGUACGAGAGGACCGGAGUGGACGCAUCACUGGUGUUCGGGUUGUCAUGCCAAUGGCACUGCCCGGUAGCUAAAUGCGGAAGAGAUAAGUGCUGAAAGCAUCUAAGCACGAAACUUGCCCCGAGAUGAGUUCUCCCUGACUCCUUGAGAGUCCUGAAGGAACGUUGAAGACGACGACGUUGAUAGGCCGGGUGUGUAAGCGCAGCGAUGCGUUGAGCUAACCGGUACUAAUGAACCGUGAGGCUUAACCUUACAACGCCGAAGCUGUU